This 369-nucleotide long non-coding RNA is filed under the name Mytilus galloprovincialis (Mediterranean mussel). The record is from RNAcentral. Lineage: Eukaryota; Metazoa; Mollusca; Bivalvia; Mytilida; Mytilidae.
UUGUAUAUUAUUUCUUGUUUGCAUUAACUUUUGUUUGAUUUUGUGUAUUACACAUGUUUGAUUAAGCUAGAUUUAAUCUCUUUACAUUACGAGAGUGGGCGUGUUGUGUGUAUAGUUAAGUAACAAGGGUUGCUUAUACUAUUUUAAUGUAUAUGGGAGUGCCCAUGAAAUAGAUUGACAGGUUGGUCAUUCAGAGUUCUAUGGUGAUACGGUCACAUAGUAGUGAAAUUGCAGCUAAUGAGAUGCUGAUUUUCUUUGUAAAUUGAUUUAUUUGAUGGCCCAGAGAUAAUGAUUAGUUGAUUUUAUUGAUGCUUUUAAAUCUAUUUUAUCAUUUCGUUUACGCUUGGAUUAACGGUCAAAAUUCCGGAA